This 394-nucleotide long non-coding RNA is filed under the name Heterocephalus glaber (naked mole-rat). RNAcentral describes it as "lncRNA (ENSHGLG00000033703.1)". The record is from RNAcentral. Lineage: Eukaryota; Metazoa; Chordata; Mammalia; Rodentia; Bathyergidae.
GAAAAAUACUGGAAAUUCCCUGCGCCCUGCACGGAGAGGCCUUGCUAGGAAAUCAGCAGCCAGGGAGAGAGAGGUCGCUGCCCGCAGGCGGGGCCGGAGCAGGAGGAAGUCGAGGGCGAUAUUGGACACUCUGAGACCCUGCUUUGCCCGCUGUGCCCGUGGCCAUCUGCUUCCACCUCUGGGGACAGCCCUGCCCUUUGGAGCAGGCCGACUCCUACCAGAAAAGGCUGCAGCCUUCUGGUCUCCCUGCCUGGAGCUGACCACCUACUGAGGCCGGCAGGGGUUAUAAACCUCCACCUCCAGGAAGAUCCCUUCCAGCUGUCACCUGCCAAGGAGCUCACCAGCUCCUGAUGUCGGGAGGUGAGGAUCUUGGCUGCAACAAAACCAAACGAGG